Chelonia mydas (Green sea turtle) is the source of this 4084-nucleotide long non-coding RNA. RefSeq lists it as uncharacterized. The transcript is spliced from 3 exons. Lineage: Eukaryota; Metazoa; Chordata; Testudines; Cheloniidae. The record is from RefSeq and is a predicted model, not a curated record.
GUCUGUCUGUGUGAUGCUUUUGCCGGGAUCAGGUCAGGAAUGCUGUUCAGAACUUCUGUUAAGUUAGUUAAUGAGUUGGCUGACUAGCUCACUGAGUGAUUCCACAGUCCAGCAGAGAUGGUCAGAGAGUCUGCCUGGAGAUCUCUGCAAGCAGAGGGGGGAAGAUACUAUUGUAGUGCAUUGUACUCAAUAGACUGCAUAGAGUUGAUGAACUAAAGAUUUUCACUGAGACUCAGGUAAUUCACUCAGAUCCAGUGGAGAAGUUGAUUUAUCUCACCUGGCAAGCACAAGCCAAAGAGCUGAUGGAAGAGAGUGAGACUUCUGACAAAGUUAAAAGAAGGAAGGUGAUUGAAAAUGUAUUACCUCCAGCACUGAAGGUGGCCUUAGGAGCUGGUAGCAAGGCAACCACUGGAGAAUGCUUUGAGAUUUUAGAGACGGUAUAUAGAAGUGUCAUAAAUGCAUCUGAGCUUACGGCUCAAUUUUCUGAGUUGUACCAAACAUACUAGAGAACUACUGGCUGUGUACCUGAAUAGAUUACACACUAGCCCAAGAAGUUUUGGAGCCUGGUGAGGUGAGGCUUGUGAGGUAAAAGAUACAGAAUUGGACUCUUAUAUACAAGAUCAAUUUUUCUGUGGUCCUUAUUAAAUACACUCUUUUCAAAAGGAUUAAUGCUAGUGGCGACAAAGAUCUCUUAUGCCACACUCCUUUUUGAGGUGAGAUCUUUUGAAAGGGAGCACUCUGAUCAACAAAAGAGAGAACUUCAAUAAGAAAUAGAAGAAGGAAGGCCAUUGAGUAAGAGUACUUUUCAAUUGCUAAGGGUAUCUGAAAAUACUUGCAGAGCCAGUGACGAAGCCACUGAAAUAGGUUGGAAGGAGAAAUACCUGCAAAUGGAGCAGUGAUUGGUGGGACUGCAGAUGAUCAAGCCAAGUUCUGAAACUUCUGCUCCAUAUAGUCUGUUCACUGCCCAAUCAAGUCCAAAGAAUUUUGAUAAACAAGCAAUAUCAAAAUGUACCAAAAGAAAGCCUUUGUGUUUUAAACAGUGGGCAAAUUUUCAAAAUGAUUGUGAGAAUUCUCCUAACCAACCAAUUAUAUCAGCAGCCAGAAAGAAAAUAAAUUAACAACUCUCAGAGCGAAGUUGUUAUUAAUUGGGUUCAGGAGACAGAUGCUACCCAAAUGGAUGUCAGUGAGGUCAUUCAGCCAUUAGUAGGACCUGUUUGUCAUGGUUAUGUUUACCUAGAUGGAGCAAAGAGUACCUGCUGUAAUAGAUACUGGUUCUCAAGUAACGUGUGUAUGUAAAACUUUCUAUUAUGAGCAUUUAUCUUAUCAACAGUUAGUCUAUUGCCAAUAUACUUCAGAAAGAAUGAACUUGAGGACACAUGAUUCCUGGGAUAUAUAUCCUUGAAGAUAUGAUUCCCAAAGGUCAUCUGUGGGACUAACAGACAAUAUGAGAUACUAGUCUUGGUUUGUCCAGACCAUCAUAUGAAUCAGCAAGUGUCAGUGCUCAUAGGCACAAAUGAGCUGAAAUAUUUUGUGGAAGACUGUAAGAAGAAAUGGGGCCCUGAUUUCUUAAGUAGGAUUUCACUACCAAGUGAGUGGGCUGAAGCUUAGACAAUUUUUCUUCAGUCAUUGCAGUAAGAAGCUGAAGAAGGGGCUGAUGUGAUCCUGAGAAGAAGAAAUUCAGUGACAACUCCACCUGGCCAGAAUUCUGAAAUUUGCAGUGAACAAAUUGGAGACUGCCGUAAUGCUAGAAGAUCCAGGUGUUGCAGUUGGACCUGGUGGGCCAGCAAUUCUGUCUCAAUUUGUUAAAGUCACUGGCUCCAGUAUGAGAACAGGGGUACAAGUCAAAAACUUAUUGAGGAAGGAUGACUCACAUUCUCAUUGUGAAGGGGCAAGCAGUUGAAUGGAUAAAGCUGGUGCCAACUCAAGUUUCAGAAGUUGUGACUAAGAAAGAGACGGUUAUAUUGCCGCUUGACUUUGAAGGAUUUCUUCAGUGCAGUUAAGAGAAAAAAGACUGCUAAGACUAUCAGUAAGGAAACUUGUAAAGCGAAUGCUAUUCAUAAUCUAGACUUUGUAAGAGUUUCAGGAGUGACACAUCAGACUGAGCUCACUAAUGUCCCUUUUUAAAGGAAGAACUAGAAGGGUUUUGCUCUCAGAUUUUGAAAAUAUGCGUCAGCAUGUGUGUGAGUUGGUGGCACUUGGAGUGAUUGAGGAAAUGUAGUCCAUAUGCAUCACAUGUGGUGCUGGUGUGUAAGAAGAUGAGCCCUUAGAAUGAUGGUGGAUUAUAGAAAACUGAACAGUGUUAUCUGAAAGGAUGCUUAUUGGUUACUCAGGAUAGAAGAAUCCUUUGCCUUGCUGGUAGGAUCUAAAUGGUUGUCUGUAUUGGAUCUAAAGAGUGGAUACUAUCAAGUUCCAGUAGAGUCCAGUGAUUGUCUGAAGACAGUCUUCACUACACUGUUUGGUAAUUGGCUUUUCAAAAUGGUGCUGCAAGGCUUGACUCUAAUGCUCCAGCUAUCUUCCAGCAAAUGAUGGAAUGUGUUAUGGCUGGUAUGAAUAUCACAGAAACUGUAGAAUUCUUGGAUGAUUCAAUCAUCUUUUCAGCCACCCUAGAAACACAUGAGGAGUGUCUCCUAGAAAUUUUGAAAAGACUUCAGGAAUACAGCUUAAAACUUGCACUUUCAAAGUGAAUACUUCACUUCAGCCUUCAGUGAAAUACCUGGGUCACAGCACAUCUCAAGAUGGGAUUUGUCCAGACAGAGAGAACUGAUACUAUCAUCAUUUGGCCUGUUCCAACUACCUUCAGAACUUUGUAGAUUCUUGGGAUUUGCUGAUUACUACCUAAGAUUUGUAGAGAGAUACUCUGUUAUUGCAAAACCUUUGAAUUCUCUUCUUGCUGGUGGUCCUAAAGAGAGUACAUGGAAUGGAAAACAACCACUUGAGAGCAGAUGGGAUGCAGUUUGCCAACAGGCCUUUGAAACCUUGAAACAAAAUUUCACUACUGCAUCAAUCCUUGCUGAAAAUCCUCAAUGACUGAAUUCUGGGUCUGCAUGUCCUUUUCUAUAGAAGUUGUAUUUUAAGCACUAGGAGAAGGGUGCUGAAAUAGACUCUAGCCCACCCAAAGAUUACAUGUGCUCUAGUGGGCAUGGACUCUUCUACCCCAUCCCCUACUGCCUGUACUAGUUGUAGCUCUUCCCUACUCCUGGCUCCUUGUUCCAGUUCAUUCUCCCCACCUAGCAAGUCAGGCUCCACUCCUCAAGCCUCUCCUGCCAGUCUUCUUGUUCAGCAAGUCCUUGACCUCCAGUCCCAGUUCCACCCCUGUGUAGCUCCUCAUCCAGUCUGUCUCCCUGGCCUUCCUGCCCAGGUUCACCAUCCUCAGUGCCUUCCAUUCCUCCCCCAGCAGUCUGAGUCCGUUUCCCCAACCUGCUGGCUCACUGUUAUCCUCACCAGCUCCCAGUCCCAGUCUCUCCUUCAACCCUAAAUCCCAGUUUCUUUUCCCCCCCCUGCCAGCCUCCAAUCCCAGUCUCCCUUGCUACUCCCCUUAGAUUCUCUGCAACUCUGGCUCUUGUCCCCUCAGCAUUUUAAUUAGGCACCUUUCUCCUCCACUCUGCCUGGAUCCAGCAAGGGAUCACUGAGAGCACAGGAGAGAGAGUCUACCUAUUUGCACUUCAGGUGCCCAGAGCUGGACCCAACAUUGCUUGCAGUAGCCAUUUCAGGGAAAGUCCUGCUCAGCCCUGAGCUGAAGCUUGCCCAAUGCAGCCAGAAUCUUGGGAGGUAUUUAGCUGCUAAAAUCUUAGUCUCUACUGACUGUGUGCAAAUUGCUUUGAAUCUCAAGACAGAGAGAGGAGCAGGGGGGUGAUGUGUCUAUGGUGACCCAUGUGGCUAAACAGAUGAGAUGGCCUGUUGCAUUUUGUACCACUUGAAACUUUUUAAAGAUGUGUAGCUUUGAGUUUAUUUCUGUGUAAUGUAUGGCUUUUGUGUCAGGUGGAAUCUGCUGUUUUUUCUACUGAUUUCUAGUUUAGUGCUAUGGUUGAUGUUUGAUGACUUGUCAAGUUGCUUAGAGCCAGGGAUGGGAGAAUUUGGAUUUUUA